CCAACGUGACCUGCAGGCCCCUGCAGUGGGGUUGCCAUUCACACUUGUCAUCUUUAAAGUUUGGAGAGGUCAUGAAGUGAGGAGCUAGAAUGGUUAAUUUCUCAACUUUGCUGGAGUCUCCUGGGCUUGACCUGAUUCCAAGAGGAAUGGUGUCACUAUUAGAGGCUUUCCAACCUCCUUCCGGGAGCAGGCUGCUAUUGAUUGAAGGUGCCUCCAGGCUGAAACUCGUAGAUAAAAUAGCUCUUCUGUCUACACACAGAAGUAUGUACACAUGGAGAAAUGUUUUGUUAUCCUGCUUCAAGACACCACAGAGUAAACAUACCUCAAAACUCACAGAGGGAAGAAAAUGCAAAAUGAUGUCAGGAGAGAAGCAGAUCCAGGCGGAAUAUCACCAUGAGGCAGCAGAUCCUUGA
This 413-nucleotide long non-coding RNA is filed under the name Callithrix jacchus (white-tufted-ear marmoset). RNAcentral describes it as "lncRNA (ENSCJAG00000072765.1)". Lineage: Eukaryota; Metazoa; Chordata; Mammalia; Primates; Cebidae. The record is from RNAcentral.